This 84-nucleotide transfer RNA is filed under the name Candidatus Terrybacteria bacterium RIFCSPHIGHO2_01_FULL_48_17. Its description in RNAcentral is "tRNA-Leu". It matches the Rfam family "tRNA". From Rfam's summary of the family: Transfer RNA (tRNA) molecules are approximately 80 nucleotides in length. Their secondary structure includes four short double-helical elements and three loops (D, anti-codon, and T loops). Further hydrogen bonds mediate the characteristic L-shaped molecular structure. tRNAs have two regions of fundamental functional importance: the anti-codon, which is responsible for specific mRNA codon recognition, and the 3' end, to which the tRNAs corresponding amino acid is attached (by aminoacyl-tRNA synthetases). tRNAs cope with the degeneracy of the genetic code in two manners: having more than one tRNA (with a specific anti-codon) for a particular amino acid; and 'wobble' base-pairing, i.e. permitting non-standard base-pairing at the 3rd anti-codon position. Lineage: Bacteria; Candidatus Terryibacteriota. The record is from RNAcentral. RNAcentral also lists the same sequence under 1 other name.
GCCGGCGUGGCGGAAUUGGUAUACGCGAGGGACUUAAAAUCCCUUGGAGGAAACUCCUUGCAGGUUCAAGUCCUGCCGCCGGCA